CAAUGAAGGAAGCAUGGUAAUGUGCACAGAAAUUGAAUCGGGUCUCAGGGCCUGCCUUCUCUAAUGCCAUCUGGCUUUGAUUUGAGAGCAUAGUUUCGCGGCAAAGCA
Rhododendron vialii is the source of this 108-nucleotide small nucleolar RNA. RefSeq annotates it as small nucleolar RNA snoR100. NCBI's taxonomy places the organism in Eukaryota, Viridiplantae, Streptophyta, Magnoliopsida, Ericales, Ericaceae. The transcript has a single exon. The record is from RefSeq and is a predicted model, not a curated record.